UACGUAGGGACCAAGCGUUGUUCGGAUUUACUGGGCGUAAAGGGCGCGUAGGCGGCAAUUCAAGUCAUCUGUGAAAUCUCCGGGCUUAACCCGGAACGGUCAGAUGAUACUGUUUUGCUAGAGUGCGGAAGGGGCAAUCGGAAUUCUUGGUGUAGCGGUGAAAUGCGUAGAUAUCAAGAGGAACACCUGAGGUGAAGACGGGUUGCUGGGCCGACACUGACGCUGACAGCGCGAAAGCCAGGGGAGCAAACGGG
This 254-nucleotide ribosomal RNA is filed under the name uncultured bacterium. RNAcentral's name for it is "partial 16S ribosomal RNA". It matches the Rfam family "Bacterial small subunit ribosomal RNA", at positions 524 to 776 of the family's 1533-position model. The record is from RNAcentral.